AUGAAAUGGAAUAGCCAGUCUCAUACUGAGCCAGACAACAGAGAGUGGCCGUGAGACUUCGUUCUUGUGGACAGAGGACAAGAGAAAAGCAAGGAGCCUGGGGCUGUUUUCAUCCCCAGAAUAUUUUAUCUUGUUCAACUAUUCUGAAGGCUGAACAGCUAUCUUCUCUGCAGUACUGUGCCUUGUGAAUUCUCAACCAAAGGAGACUGCUGAGUUCUGCUUGGGUUCCUGUCCCUAAGCUAGAGCCUGGAAAUGCUCUCUAAGGAGAAGAUGGGGCAGUUGGAGGAUUCACCGUGUUUCCUGUCACUCAGAGAUCACUGUCCUGAACUAUUGUUCCAUGUCUGAAACCAUUGCUUCUUGUAUUUCAUCUGGUUUUGAGCUGGAUAAAGGAACUAAAAAGAGCAGGUGAUAAAUAACAACUUCAGUCGUGAUUAAUACCAUGAAUCCUUCAACCUGACUAAUGCAAAAGAACUUGAGACCUACAGAACAAGUGGGUGAUAAUUGUUGUGAGAACUGUUGAAGCUCUGCUCAGCUUGUGAGAGAAGAAAUCCACAGGAAAUGAGGCGUUAGCCAGCAGUCCAGCUGAUCCUCCAAGGCUUCAUUAAGCCCAUCUCAGCGACAUUCGCCUCCGUUUGACUACUAGUGCUAGGUUUUCUCACUCCCAACACUUAAGUUUUAAGUAUCUUGAGAAAAGAAAGGACUAACUCACCUUUGCAUACAUUUAAAUAUUUAUUAAAUGAAUGACUGAAUAAUAAAUGAGGAAAUAUAUUUUUUGCCUAAGUAGUAGGCCUUCUAAUAUGGGUCAUUUGAGAGCUACAUAUGGUUAUCUUGUCAUUUCUCUAAUAAUGCACUUGUGCAUAAAUGUAGUUUUGCUAGAACCCAGAGCAAAGUUAACAUUCUCUGCUGGCAAAAAGGAAACUAUUAGCAAUGGCCAGUAGCUAAAGCCACAUGACGCCAUCAACUUGAUUAUCAUCAUUUAUUACCAGAUACUAAGGUAAAAAUACCAGUGGUUCUCAAUUAGGCAGAUGGUCAGGGGACUGUGUAUUGUUUGACAAAGAUUCCCAGGAUUUCCUUGCCUCCCAAUUGAGAAACUGCUUUAAAUAGCACUAUUUUAAGUCACAAAUCAGUGGGUUCGUAACAGUGGUCAAGUAGUUAAAUAAGGCCUAAAGACAUGUUUGUUUGGCAGGCAACUUGUUUUAGUCUUUAAUUUUAUUUUAAUGCCUUUAGGUAGAAGGAUGCGUUCUCCAGUUUGGCACAACUGCCACUAUUCCUUUUGUCUAAUACCUCACUCUGUGUCUCACUCUAUUCAUUACAUGCUUGGCUUCCGGCUUGAGUUUGGGACAGACAGAACUGAGUUGAGUGUGAGACAGACAACAGUAACAAUAGAGUAUGAAAAUAACUUGGAUACAGGUAUGUGAUUAUAUAGAGGUUUUCAAGAAUUGUAAGCUUCGAUUUCUUCAGUUAAAAAACUGUUUACCCCUGGGCUGGGGAUUUAGCUCAGUGGUUCUGCUGCCUGCCUCAAAAACACAAGGUCCCGAGUUCGAUCCCCAGUACCAAAAAAAAAAAAAAAAAAAAAAAAAAAGUUUACCCCUACCCUUCUAAAGGAAUGUCUGGCAUGGUAUAAUGAUCACUUGAAAAUUGCCCAGUGCUAUAAGUGAUGUAGAAACAUAGUAAUAUGGAAAACUGCACAGAGCUAUAUAUAAGUGCCAUGGGAAUGUAACCCAGCCUGGAUCACAGGACAACUCUUAAAAUAGUUUCAAUUAAAAUCUAAAGUGGAAAAGAAGAGAAUAAAACAAGAAUCACCUGUCCUAAUUAACCAAGUGUCUCAUUACUCCUAGUAAAAAUGUAUAACCUUACACUGAAAUUCUAGACUACUGAUGUAUCACUGAGUCCUUAAAUUAUGAGGAAACAGAAUAUCUAAACAAUAAAAAAUAAACAGAAGUGAUAGCAAAAAAAUCUAUUCUCCCCAAAAGCCAAUGACUUUUGAAUGAUAAUCCCUAUCUUGCAUGUUUCAGAGAACAGAAAAGAGGUGUCAUCCAAUUUAUUUCCUUAAACUUUAUUGAAGUAUAAUUUACAUACAAUAAAAUACAGUACGAUGCACUUGACAAAUGUGUACAUCUUUUUUUCCUUUUUUAUUGGUACAUUUUAGAUAUACAUAAUGAUAACAUCAUCAU
Molecule: long non-coding RNA, 2174 nt
Organism: Heterocephalus glaber (naked mole-rat)
Lineage: Eukaryota; Metazoa; Chordata; Mammalia; Rodentia; Bathyergidae
Source: Ensembl